Molecule: ribosomal RNA, 221 nt
Filed under: Pinirampus pirinampu
Lineage: Eukaryota; Metazoa; Chordata; Actinopteri; Siluriformes; Pimelodidae
Description: partial small subunit ribosomal RNA
Source: RNAcentral
UCGGUAAAACUCGUGCCAGCCACCGCGGUUAUACGAAAGACCCUAGUUGAUGGCCACGGCGUAAAGGGUGGUUAAGGUACCUAACAAAUAAAGCUAAAUAGCCUCUAAGCCGUCGAACGCGCCCUGAGAACUAGAAACUCAAAAACGAAAGUAGCUUUAAAACAACCCCACCUGACCCCACGAAAGCUAAGAAACAAACUGGGAUUAGAUACCCCACUAUG